GCACUCAUUUCUUUCAUCUUCUUGUAGCGGUACACAAUUCCAAGAAUAUUCAGCAGCUGUCGCUUGUAUUCAUGAAUACGCUUCACCUGGAUAUCAAACAUUGCAUCGGGGCUGACAGAAUACCCUGUUUUUUCUUUGAGGAAUGACACAACCUUCAUCUUAUUGCUUUUCUUCGCUGCCCUCCAUUGGGUUUGAAGAUCCUCAUUAUCUGCAAACUUUCUUAGUUCAGCCAGCUUUUCAGUCUUUAAAACCCAUUCUUCAGAUCCAGUCCAGUCAGUAAUAAUUUUACUCAAAUCCGGAUUGCAGAAACGGAUCCAUCUUCUUGGAGUAACCCCAUUGGUUUUAUUUUGAAACUUAUUAGGCCACAACUCAUAAAAUGCAUUAAACACUUCAUCCUUCACUAUUUCACUAUGUAUCUCAGCAACUCCAUUUACUGCAUGACCACCUACAACACAGAGAUUAGCCAUACGGACCAGCUUUGGUGGUUUUGGUGGCGGUUCUGCCACCACCUUUUCCUUCUUCUGAGUGCCUUUGCCAUUGGGUUCACCUUUGCUUUCUGGCUCAUCUUCACUAUCAAUUUCAUCUUUUUCACUAAUCAGCUUGCUUUCAUCAUCAGAUUUUUCAGUUUCUUCACUCAUAGCUGCAACAGAGCUUUCCUUGGGUUUAACAAUUAAAUCCGCAAAGGUGGAAGGCAAAUCUACAUUUUCUAAUAUUCUCAUUUCCUUCAGUUUUUUCUCCAAAAGGUCGGGAUCUUCUCUUCCAUACUCAGAAACAAUGGUUUUUAUCAGCUCUUCAUCAAUCAUUUCUAUGAUCUCAACAUGUCGUGGUAACAGCUUCUCCAUAAGCUCUAAACUCCAUUUCUCCAAUGCUUCAGGUAGAACAGUAUGGUUCGUAUAUGCCACAGUUCUCUUUACAUGGUAUAAUGAGAUAGGUACUGCAACAUCUAAAGAAAAUUGCAAAAUCAAGAGGUUAAGAGGAGAGCGAAGACCAACAAACAAAGGACAACUGCAAACAGCCAAUGCUAGAUGGGGAACUAAUAAAUGAUAAAUAUUCACUUCCCAUGUUUCCAUUUUCUUUGGAUCUCAUGAAACGCUGAAUUACAAUCAAAGCCAAAGGAAACUGCUGAGGUGAGAUGUUCUUUGGGUAAUAUUCCAGGCCUCCUUCCAGCUUAAGCCUUUCAAGUCUAUCAAAUUUCUCAUCAGCUCUGGAAUGCAGAGAGUGGGAUGAGUGUCAUUCAUCUGCACUGCAACUUUCUCAGGAAAUUCUUCCCACUUUAUGUUUGAUCCAGAUCUUCUCUCGAACCGUGCAAUGAUAUCUUGGAGAGAAGCUGAACAUAAGGUAUAUUGUUGUUUCAACCGUAGGAUCUUGCCCUCCGCUGAAUCAUCCCCAGGAUAGAGAAUAUAGCAAAUCUUUUCAGCAUUUGCAAGGGCCUCAUAUGCUUUAGUGUGCUCCCCAGCAUUGAAAGCAUACAAGUCCAAAUCUUCGGCUGGAGCUUUAGUUGACCAAAGUCGAAGGUUAAUAGUGCUUUUAGUUUUAUAUCCUGGUAUUGGGACAUCAUAUGCCACAGCCUUUAUAUCUUCUCCUCCGAUCCAGUGUUUUUUCCCAUCUGAUCCACUAACAACCUUGCCGUAAAAUUUUACAGGAUAUGCAACAUCAUUUCUCACAAUUUCCCAGGGAUUACCCAUCUCAAGCCAAUCUUCAGCAACCUCCUCUUGACCAUCUUUUGUAAUUCGCUGUUUAAAUAAGCCAUACCUGUAUCUUAAUCCAUAACCCCAUGCAGGAUAAUUUAAUGUUGCCAAAGAGUCCAAAAAGCAGGAGGCGAGUCGCCCAAGACCUCCAUUUCCAAGUGCAGCAUCAGGCUCAUGACGAGCCACAUUCUCCAAAUUGUGUCCUAGCUUGGUCAAAGCCUCUGCAUAUGCACCAGUCAGCUCUAAAUUACCAAUUGCAUUCAACAGUGCUCUACCCUGUAGAAAUUCCAUUGACAAAUAAUACGCCUGUUUUACAUUCAAUCUCUCAUAGUGCUCAUACGUUUCAUUCCAAUUUAUGAUGAGAGCAUCACGAACACUUUGCGCAGUUGCAAAGAAGGCCUUUGGAAGCUCAAAUUUCUCUGGGGAAAAUGAUGGUGUGAAUUCUGCAUGGUAUUUGAUACUUGAGGCGAUAGAUGAGGCAUCUGAAGUGAAAGGACUCCGACUACUUGGAUUUUCUUCGUCAGAGAUCGGAUCUUUGAAUUUCGUCUUUGGCUCGCUAGACACAUUUUUAGCCGAAAACGACCUCGUAAGAGACCGCGACCUCAAGGUCCGAAUCAAGAACAGAUUCGAUCUCCACUUGCCACCGCUUCUAGAACCGAAAUCGACGAAUCUCGAAACAGGACUACAAUGCGAAGUCGCAGAGAAAUGUGAAGUCGCCAUUCUCUCUCUCUCUCUCCCUCGGUCUCGCUCUUUCAGUGAUGAUGAGUGACGAGUGUUAAGCGAUCAGAGUGUAUAUAGCGAGUGGUGGAAGAAGAAAGUACAAAUUCAAA
RNAcentral lists this unclassified non-coding RNA (2518 nucleotides) under Hevea brasiliensis (rubber tree). The record is from RNAcentral. Lineage: Eukaryota; Viridiplantae; Streptophyta; Magnoliopsida; Malpighiales; Euphorbiaceae.